Molecule: ribosomal RNA, 253 nt
Filed under: uncultured bacterium
Lineage: Bacteria
Description: partial 16S ribosomal RNA
Rfam family: Bacterial small subunit ribosomal RNA
Source: RNAcentral
UACGGGGGGGGCAAGCGUUGUUCGGAAUUACUGGGCGUAAAGGGCUCGUAGGCGGCCAACUAAGUCCGACGUGAAAUCCCCAGGCUUAACCUGGGAACUGCGUCGGAUACUGGAUGGCUUGAAUCCGAGAGAGGGAUGCGGAAUUCCAGGUGUAGCGGUGAAAUGCGUAGAUAUCUGGAGGAACACCGGUGGCGAAGGCGGCAUCCUGGACCGGCAUUGACGCUGAGGAGCGAAAGCCAGGGGAGCAAACGGG